RNAcentral lists this transfer RNA (69 nucleotides) under Cordylochernes scorpioides. Its description in RNAcentral is "tRNA-Gly". The record is from RNAcentral. Lineage: Eukaryota; Metazoa; Arthropoda; Arachnida; Pseudoscorpiones; Chernetidae.
UGCAUCAGCCGGGAAUCGAACCCUGGGCACCCGCGUGGCAAGCGAGCAUUCUACCACUGAACCAAAAGC